AGCGAACGCUGGCGGCAUGCCUAACACAUGCAAGUCGCACGGGGGGGCUUCGGCCUCCCAGUGGCGGACGGGUGAGGAACGCGUAGGGACCUGUCGAGGGGUGGGGGAUAACCGCGGGAAACUGCGGCUAAUACCGCAUGACGCCGCAGCGUGACAGCCGGGGCCAAAGGCGAAAGCCGCCCGCCGAGGGGCCUGCGUCCGAUUAGCUGGUUGGCGGGGUAGCGGCCCACCAAGGCGUCGAUCGGUAGCUGGUCUGAGAGGGUGAUCAGCCACACCGGGACUGAGACACGGCCCGGACUCCUACGGGAGGCAGCAGUGGGGAAUAUUGGACAAUGGGCGCAAGCCUGAUCCAGCAAUGCCGCGUGGGUGAAGAAGGUCUUCGGAUUGUAAAGCCCUUUCGGCGGGGACGAUGGUGACGGUACCCGCAGAAGAAGCCCCGGCUAACUUCGUG
This 451-nucleotide ribosomal RNA is filed under the name uncultured bacterium. RNAcentral's name for it is "partial 16S ribosomal RNA". It matches the Rfam family "Bacterial small subunit ribosomal RNA", at positions 28 to 507 of the family's 1533-position model. The record is from RNAcentral.